CAAUAGCGUAUAUUAAAGUUGUUGCGGUUAAAAAGCUCGUAGUUGGAUUUCUGCUGAGGACGAUCGGUCCGCCCUCUGGGUGAGUAUCUGGCUCGGCCUUGGCAUCUUCUUGGAGAACGUUACUGCACUUGACUGUGUGGUGCGGUAUCCAGGACUUUUACUUUGAGGAAAUUAGAGUGUUUCAAGCAGGCGCACGCCUUGAAUACAUUAGCAUGGAAUAAUAAGAUAGGACCUUGGUUCUAUUUUGUUGGUUUCUAGAGCUGAGGUAAUGAUUAAUAGGGAUAGUUGGGGGCAUUCGUAUUUAACUGUCAGAGGUGAAGUUCUUGGAUUUGUUAAAGACGGACUACUGCGAAAGCAUUUGCCAAGGAUGUUUUCAUUGA
Molecule: ribosomal RNA, 380 nt
Filed under: uncultured eukaryote
Lineage: Eukaryota
Description: partial 18S ribosomal RNA
Rfam family: Eukaryotic small subunit ribosomal RNA
Source: RNAcentral